This 274-nucleotide ribosomal RNA is filed under the name uncultured bacterium. RNAcentral describes it as "partial 16S ribosomal RNA". It matches the Rfam family "Bacterial small subunit ribosomal RNA", at positions 523 to 796 of the family's 1533-position model. The record is from RNAcentral.
AUACGGAAGGUGCAAGCGUUAUUCGGAAUCACUGGGCGUAAAGGACGCGUAGGCGGGUUGGCAAGUCAGAUGUGAAAUCCUACAGCUUAACUGUAGAACUGCAUUUGAAACUGCUAACCUAGAGUAUGGGAGGGGGAGAUGGAAUUAGUGGUGUAGGGGUAAAAUCCGUAGAUAUCACUAGGAAUACCGAAAGCGAAGGCGAUCUCCUGGAACAUAACUGACGCUAAGGCGUGAAAGCGUGGGGAGCAAACAGGAUUAGAAACCCUUGUAGUCC